This 422-nucleotide ribosomal RNA is filed under the name uncultured bacterium. Its description in RNAcentral is "bacterial SSU rRNA". It matches the Rfam family "Bacterial small subunit ribosomal RNA", at positions 355 to 774 of the family's 1533-position model. The record is from RNAcentral.
UGAGGAAUAUUGGGCAAUGCCCGCAAGGGUGACCCAGCAACGCCGCGUGGAGGAUGAGUGUCGUAAGAUUGUAAACUCCUGUUAGAGGGGAAGAAUAGUACCGGUUGGACCGGUAUAUGACUGUACCCUCAGAGAAAGCCCCGGCUAACUACGUGCCAGCAGCCGCGGUAAUACGUAGGGGGCAAGCGUUGUCCGGAUUUACUGGGUGUAAAGGGCGCGCAGGCGGGAUAAAAAGUCAGUGGUGAAAUCCUACAGCUUAACUGUAGAACUGCCUUUGAUACUUUUAUUCUUGAGUUCGGGAGAGAGAGACGGAAUUCCAGGUGUAGUGGUGAAAUACGUAGAUAUCUGGAAGAACACCAGUUGCGAAGGCGGUCUCUUGGUCCGACACUGACGCUGAGGCGCGAAAGCGUGGGGAGCAAACA